Molecule: ribosomal RNA, 497 nt
Filed under: uncultured bacterium
Lineage: Bacteria
Description: partial 16S ribosomal RNA
Rfam family: Bacterial small subunit ribosomal RNA
Source: RNAcentral
GAUGAACGCUGGCGGCGUGCCUAAUACAUGCAAGUCGAGCGAACAGACGAGGAGCUUGCUCCUCUGACGUUAGCGGCGGACGGGUGAGUAACACGUGGAUAACCUACCUAUAAGACUGGGAUAACUUCGGGAAACCGGAGCUAAUACCGGAUAAUAUAUUGAACCGCAUGGUUCAAUAGUGAAAGACGGUUUUGCUGUCACUUAUAGAUGGAUCUGCGCCGCAUUAGCUAGUUGGUAAGGUAACGGCUUACCAAGGCAACGAUGCGUAGCCGACCUGAGAGGGUGAUCGGCCACACUGGAACUGAGACGCGGUCCAGACUCCUACGGGAGGCAGCAGUAGGGAAUCUUCCGCAAUGGGCGAAAGCCUGACGGAGCAACGCCGCGUGAGUGAUGAAGGUCUUCGGAUCGUAAAACUCUGUUAUUAGGGAAGAACAAAUGUGUAAGUAACUAUGCACGUCUUGACGGUACCUAAUCAGAAAGCCACGGCUAACUACGUG